This 377-nucleotide ribosomal RNA is filed under the name uncultured bacterium. Its description in RNAcentral is "bacterial SSU rRNA". It matches the Rfam family "Bacterial small subunit ribosomal RNA", at positions 523 to 898 of the family's 1533-position model. The record is from RNAcentral.
AUACGUAGGGGGCAAGCGUUGUCCGGAUUUAUUGGGCGUAAAGGGCGUGUAGGCGGCUUAUCAAGUCAGGGGUGAAAGCCCGGGGCUCAACCCCGGGCCGGCCUCUGAAACUGGCAGGCUUGAGUGCUCUAGAGGGCAGUGGAAUUCCCGGUGUAGCAGUGAAAUGCGUAGAGAUCGGGAGGAACACCAGUGGCGAAGGCGGCUGCCUGGGGAGCAACUGACGCUGAGGCGCGAAAGCUGGGGGAGCAAACGGGAUUAGAUACCCCGGUAGUCCCAGCCGUAAACGAUGAGUGCUAGGUGUGAGGGGUAUCGACCCCCCUCGUGCCGGAGUUAACGCAAUAAGCACUCCGCCUGGGGAGUACGGCCGCAAGGUUGAA